RNAcentral lists this long non-coding RNA (3731 nucleotides) under Brassica rapa (field mustard). Its description in RNAcentral is "long non-coding RNA (BRAP_LNC008833)". Lineage: Eukaryota; Viridiplantae; Streptophyta; Magnoliopsida; Brassicales; Brassicaceae. The record is from RNAcentral.
GUCUUUAUAUAGGUUUUACACUCUUGCAAACUCAUAAACCUAUAUCUAAUGGAUAGAAAUAACUUAAGAGGAAUGGAUGGUGAGGAUGAGUUGGUCUUGUUGUGAUCUGAGUGAUGUGUGCUGAUUGGAUGAGCUAAGCUGGCUCACUUUAAUUCAAACCAGGCUGUGCUGUGAUUGGCUCUCCUUAGGCUCCUUUGUAUCUGUCUACAGAUCAGUCUAGGUGCAUGGUCGUGGCUGCUCUUCCUUUACAGCAACAGCCAGCCUGUCCAUGCCCCAAAGUAACCAAUCAGCUCCACACAGCAUCUUCUUGAUUCCCUUUGACUAGAUUCAAACCUUGGUGCCUCACAUCCUGAAUAGUGAUCCAAAUAGUGAAUAGUCAACCUGAAUAGUGACUAGUGAUUCACUAUUCACUUUUACACCAACUUGCCCAAACUUCUCCAAUCUUACUGUGGUAACUCUCCAAAGUUACUGUGGUAACUUUGGAGUUACUGUCUGACCCAAAUCUUCUCUAAAUGGUGUCUAAGUCCCUCCUGGACUUAACCCUAUCUUUGCACACUCAUCAGACCACUUCUGAAGCCUUAAGACUCUCCCAAAGCCUUAACAUACAACCUCUGAAGAUCUUGCCAUGUCUUUGCACAAGCACCAACUCAACUCAUCACUUUUGCUUCUCCACUUCUUCUCUUCAAGUUAACACUCCCCCUCAAGCUUGACUUUAGCUGAUCCUAAGUCAAGCUUGGAACCUUGAAGAACUUCCUCAUUAAAAACCUCACCAAGGAAAACCCUUUGGGACAAAACCUUGAUGAGGGAAAAAGAGUAAAGUCUCCAAGGCCUAGGGAUUGGCCAGUGAGUCUUUGUGCCUUACCAACAAUGUAAGGGACACAAAGACUCUGGAUCAUGGCCUCUACAAUCAUCCCACGCCUUGUACUCUCCUUACUGCCUAAUCUUGGUCUCUCCCCCUUUCACCUAACCUCUUGUUAGGUUGAAGUGCUCGGACACACCAGAUCAGCCUCUUCUUGGAGAUACAACUUCUCUUACUGAGUCUUGGCUACUUCUUCUUCUUAUAGAGUCGCCACCUUGUUGUUUGAGCUACAUGAGGAUGCUUCAGCCACUCUCCAAUCACCUCAACACUUGAAGCCGCCUUGGAUAUUGCUUCUUCAUCCUUCAUCAUACUUCUCAACAGGUUGCUUCCUCUUCUAGAAUAACCACCAAGCUCUCUUGGAUCAUGUAAGCUUCAACACUCCCCCUCAAGCUUGAGACUCUCACAGGAACAAGCUUGAAUGGAUUGCUUCAUGAUCCUCACACACACACCAUUGCCGCUUCUCUUCUGAUCUUGCCAUCUUCAUGGAAUGCUUGUGGAAGCUUCAGCUAUCUCUCCAAUCACUUCACACUAGAAGCCGCCUUGAUAGAGUUGCCUUCAUCUUCUCACAGCCAAGAGUACUCUGUCUUAGUUUGAGUACUCUCUUGAAUAGACCCGCCACAGCCUAAGCCCGGAUGGCUCCUUCUUCAGAUGGUUGCAAUGGACUUCUUGGAUCGCUUGGAAGCUCACUAAACUCCCCUCCUCAAGCUUGGAUUGAGUAUAGGUCCAAGCUUGCAAGUGAGCUUCAGUGAGACUUCACACCAGUGGCACAUCACCACUUCUUUCUCAACUCUCCAUUGCUCCACACAAUGGGCAAAGUCUUCCUCUUUCAACUCGGAUGGAUGGUGAACCAAGAACACCUCUUGUGAACCUGAAACAUCACUCAAACUCCAGCAAAGAUAAGACACAAGUGCAUUGGGUCAACCCUUGAUGCAUCAUCAAGUUUGAACACCAAUGUCUUUAAGCAAUGCAACAGAUUAAACUAGACAUUUUCAAGUUCUAAUCUUUGCAAGCAAACUCUCUAAGCACUAGCAUGAUCCUAACAGAUUCAAUACAAGCUACUUAGGCAAUUUUUAAAGCUUCUUUACUCAGCAUUUAGACAUGAAUCUAAUGCUUCAAUGUAAGACAGCCAUUUGACAGUAUGCACUAGCCUUAAUCAGUUUUAAUUCAUGAAUGCAACAAUACAAUUCAUCACACAUUCAUUUAUAACUUAGGCUAAGCAUUACUAUCAUCACUUAACAUCAGACAAUGCAUUACUUUCAAUCUGUUUUCAGUUUAUGAGCUUCAAACAACACCAUUUCACAUUUAGCAAACUCAUUACUUAACAGGAGCAAGCAUUUUACUCUUUAAACACUAAACAAGCCUUUAAAGCAUCCUGGGACAGAUUCAACUAAUUAUAUUUAGCAAUCACACAUUAUCCUCAGGGUUUUCAACCAAUACACAUCACACUAACCAGGCACAGUCACAAGUUCAUUUUUAAGAGAGAUAGGAUUAGCUUACAAACAAGGAACUAGCGCUAGUUCCUUGAGCCUCCUUUGCAACCGGUCAUGCUCUUUUGAUGGACUGGAGAUGUUGAAUCGUCACCCAACAGCCCCUCCUGGUGUUCAUGACCGCUACUUGAACUUUCACCUCCAAAGGUUCCUCCUUUCACCAUCUCUUUAACUCGCCAGCUUCAGUAACAAGGGAAAUCACUCUUCUUGAAGUAUCUCCUCUUGGACAGAAGGAAAGGCACGCCUUGUAUAGACUGGAACAGGAAGGAACCGCCAUGAUAAACCUCCAUAAUAGCUUCAGACAUCUUCUUCUUGAAGAGAGAGAGCUGGCUGGACAGAUCUUCAUGGUUUGGCUUCAUGGUGAGACAGACUUGUGACUUGAAUGCGGAAGCUACAGCUCAGGUUCUGAUGAACCUGGCUCUGAUACCAUAUGAGAUUUGAGAGCUCUGGCUGUGUAUGUGUAUGAGAAGCCAUUAGAGGCAAAGAAUAAGGUCUUGAACUAGUUGAAUAAGAGGUCUGAUGAAACUAGUAUGAACUUGAAUCAGAAACAAAGAGACUUAGAGAGAUUAAGAGAUUAGAGACUAAGAAAGGGGUAGAUUAAGGGAAUCUGAUCAAGAACACACUUUUAUAUUUAUGAAGGAGAUGGGGAAAACCCCCAUACUCUCUUAAGAGAGUUACAAACGCCCAUGAGGUCUUUAUAUAGGUUUUACACUCUUGCAAACUCAUAAACCUAUAUCUAAUGGAUAGAAAUAACUUAAGAGGAAUGGAUGGUGAGGAUGAGUUGGUCUUGUUGUGAUCUGAGUGAUGUGUGCUGAUUGGAUGAGCUAAGCUGGCUCACUUUAAUUCAAACCAGGCUGUGCUGUGAUUGGCUCUCCUUAGGCUCCUUUGUAUCUGUCUACAGAUCAGUCUAGGUGCAUGGUCGUGGCUGCUCUUCCUUUACAGCAACAGCCAGCCUGUCCAUGCCCCAAAGUAACCAAUCAGCUCCACACAGCAUCUUCUUGAUUCCCUUUGACUAGAUUCAAACCUUGGUGCCUCACAUCCUGAAUAGUGAUCCAAAUAGUGAAUAGUCAACCUGAAUAGUGACUAGUGAUUCACUAUUCACUUUUACACCAACUUGCCCAAACUUCUCCAAUCUUACUGUGGUAACUCUCCAAAGUUACUGUGGUAACUUUGGAGUUACUGUCUGACCCAAAUCUUCUCUAAAUGGUGUCUAAGUCCCUCCUGGACUUAACCCUAUCUUUGCACACUCAUCAGACCACUUCUGAAGCCUUAAGACUCUCCCAAAGCCUUAACAUACAACCUCUGAAGAUCUUGCCAUGUCUUUGCACAAGCACCAACUCAACUCAUCACUUUUGCUUCUCCACUUCUUCUCUUCAAGUUAACAC